UAGGCAGAAUCCGAAAAGCCAGAAAAAGAGUAGGAA
Molecule: non-coding RNA, 36 nt
Filed under: unclassified sequences
Description: DUF805b RNA
Rfam family: DUF805b RNA
About the family: Bacteroidetes, Chlorobi (1 example), Proteobacteria. Lineage (Flavobacteria)
Source: RNAcentral